Molecule: ribosomal RNA, 800 nt
Filed under: uncultured bacterium
Lineage: Bacteria
Description: bacterial SSU rRNA
Rfam family: Bacterial small subunit ribosomal RNA
Source: RNAcentral
UAGAGUUUGAUCCUGGCUCAGAUUGAUUUCUGGCGGCAGGCCUAACACAUGCAAGUCGAGCGGUAACACAGAGGAGCUUGCUCCUUGGGUGACGAGCGGCGGACGGGUGAGUAAUGCCUGGGGAUCUGCCCGGUAGAGGGGGAUAACUACGGGAAACUGUAGCUAAUACCGCAUAAUGUCUACGGACCAGAGUGGGGGCUCUUCGGACCUCAUGCUAUCGGAUGAACCCAGGUGGGAUUAGCUAGUUGGUGAGGUAAUGGCUCACCAAGGCGACGAUCUCUAACUGGUUUGAGAGAAUGACCAGUCACACUGGAACUGAGACACGGUCCACACUCCUACGGGAGGCAGCAGUGGGGAAUAUUGCACAAUGGGCGCUUUUCUGAUGCCCCCAUGCCGCGUGUGUGAAGAAGGCCUUCGGGUUGUAAAGCACUUUCAGCGGGGAGGAAGGGCUACUAGCUAAUACCUAGUGGCAUUGACGUUACUCGCAGAAGAAGCCCCGGCUAACUCCGUGCCAGCCGCCGCGGUAAUUCGGAGGGUGCAAGCGUUAAUUGGAAUUACUGGGCGUAAAGCGCACGCAGGCGGUUUGUUAAGUCAGAUGUGAAAUCCCCGAGCUCAACUUGGGAACUGCAUUUGAAACUGGCAAGUUAGAGUCUUGUAGAGGGGGGUAGAAUUUCAGGUGUAGCGGUGAAAUGUGUAGAGAUCUGGAGGAAUCCCCGUGGCGAAGGCGGCCCCCUGGACACAGACUGACGCUCAGGUGCGAAAGCGUGGGGAGCAAACAGGAUUAGAUACCCUGGUAGUCC